UUUGCGGUUAAUGGCAGAAACCAAUUUGGCGUUAAAGUAAAAAAGAUCAUAUCAUAGGGAACAUUUGUACUGAGUUUCAAGUUGAUUGAACUUCAACUUCAUCAAUAACUACCUUAAACAAAAACUUUUAAUCAGACACUGGAAAGAUGAACGAAUGGAUGGACAGACGAACAGACCAGAAAACAUAGAUGUCCUUGGAUAAUAUAAAAACAUGUUAAAUAUAAAAGG
Molecule: long non-coding RNA, 228 nt
Filed under: Mytilus galloprovincialis (Mediterranean mussel)
Lineage: Eukaryota; Metazoa; Mollusca; Bivalvia; Mytilida; Mytilidae
Source: RNAcentral